RNAcentral lists this ribosomal RNA (375 nucleotides) under uncultured bacterium. RNAcentral describes it as "bacterial SSU rRNA". It matches the Rfam family "Bacterial small subunit ribosomal RNA", at positions 362 to 758 of the family's 1533-position model. The record is from RNAcentral.
UAUUGGACAAUGGGCGAAAGCCUGAUCCAGCCAUGCCGCGUGUGUGAAGAAGGUCUUCGGAUUGUAAAGCACUUUAAGUUGGGAGGAAGGGCAGUAAAUUAAUACUUUGCUGUUUUGACGUUACCGACAGAAUAAGCACCGGCUAACUCUGUGCCAGCAGCCGCGGUAAUACAGAGGGUGCAAGCGUUAAUCGGAAUUACUGGGCGUAAAGCGCGCGUAGGUGGUUUGUUAAGUUGGAUGUAAAUCCCCGGGCUCAACCUGGAACUGCAUUCAAAACUACUACAGAGAUGGAGAGGGUGGUGAAUUUCCUGUGAGCGGUAAAUGCGAAAAGAAGAACACCAGUGGGAGCGCACCUGGCAAUCUGACUGCGUGAAA